Non-coding RNA from Sphaerulina musiva SO2202, 98 nucleotides. The record is from the annotation of a RefSeq genome assembly. NCBI's taxonomy places the organism in Eukaryota, Fungi, Ascomycota, Dothideomycetes, Mycosphaerellales, Mycosphaerellaceae.
UCCUCCGUGGCGCAAUUGGCUAGCGCGUUCGACUGUUAUCAUCUCUACGUAGAAUUGAGGCAAUCGAGAGGUUGACAGUUCAAGCCUGUCCGGGGGAA